CUCCCAAAGUGCUGGGAUUCCAGGCCACUGUGCCUGGCCGAAACCUUUAAUUGAACAGGCUGCCUCAAGUGUGGGGCUAGAAAGCAGGAGCUUGGGGUCUGGUCCUGCUCCCCCACCCUCUUGGACCUGUCACUGCCUCUCCCUGGUCCUCCUUGUGAAUGGGACACACAGCAGGAGGAGAGGCUCCCACAAGGCAAGGUUCAUGAGCCACAAGACUCUGUGAAGUCCAGCAUCCUCACUGGAGUGGACAACAGAUUUGGCUAUAAGCUUCCUGGCAGCCACUGGGAAGAAAGAAACUAUCACACACUUUUUCUUUAAGGCUAACUGGCUUCUCAGGAAAUCCUUCCCUCUUCCUCACAGAAAAACCACAGAAAUUUCUCCUGUACAUUCUCAUAGAACAAUGAUGUGCCAGGAAUGGCAGCUAUUACAGGAGACAGCAACAGCACACGGCGGCAACCUCACGGACAGAGAGCAGGCACAGUCUGAGCCCUGAGGUCACCCUCAGUCCCCUACUUGGACACAGUGGCUGUGAUCCUGAAGACACCCUCUUAAGACACAGAACAUGCCCUGUACGUGACUGCUGUUUAUGAGACUGGUGACCAAGAGGGUAAGAGGCCCCACCUGUGCCAGGGGCCCUGGACAGGCAGAGAUUUUGUCUUCAGCUUCAAAAACAGACGUCCCAGCCAGCUUCCCUGCUGGAACUUUGAUCACUGAUGUUUCAGAACCAGACAUCAUGAACAUCCACAUCCCCAAGUAAAUAAGUGACAGGCCUGUUAUUAAUAAUUCUCUAUUUAUUAAAAAGGGUCCUACAGCUUUACAGCCACAGCACCGGACACGGCCCUGGACAGCGACGGCGAGCCCGGCCAGGGGCCGCUUUGCAACUUCAAUGCCAAGCUCACGUCUGGCUGCGACCGUGGCAGGCUGUGGCAUCCCCGACAGCGGCCGGUGGCGGAGGUAUGGGGGCGGGUGGCACCGCUCACUCGAGAUUCACAGAACAUGGCAAGCCCGCCUGACUGGCAUGGCAGUGAAUCGUCCUGUACAGCUUCAUUUC
This 1051-nucleotide long non-coding RNA is filed under the name Homo sapiens (human). RNAcentral's name for it is "HSALNT0371104". The record is from RNAcentral. Lineage: Eukaryota; Metazoa; Chordata; Mammalia; Primates; Hominidae.